Molecule: transfer RNA, 75 nt
Filed under: Priestia megaterium
Lineage: Bacteria; Bacillati; Bacillota; Bacilli; Caryophanales; Bacillaceae
Description: tRNA-Gly(gcc)
Rfam family: tRNA
About the family: Transfer RNA (tRNA) molecules are approximately 80 nucleotides in length. Their secondary structure includes four short double-helical elements and three loops (D, anti-codon, and T loops).
Source: RNAcentral
GCGGAAGUAGUUCAGUGGUAGAACACCACCUUGCCAAGGUGGGGGUCGCGAGUUCGAACCUCGUCUUCUGCUCCA